CAGAGCUCGAAACCGUUACGAGUGCCUAGGCGCGUUGCACGACGGAGCUACGUCAUGCUCGCUUGCACAAAAGUUUUCUCGUAAUAAAGGAAUCGCUAUUCAUUUUCAUUUUUAUUUCCUUCCUAUCUCCCAUCCUCACAGUUCUUGCGAGUAAAUUAUAACAAAAACCAUAUUCCAAAGAAAAAUAUUGAAGAGGACCUACAAUCUACAACGUCUUCACAUCAAAUUCUGACUGAAAAACACGAGUUGAUUUCUACAAAAAGAGCGGCCGCGAAAGAAAAUCUUUUACUGCAAGCAACAAAAAUGUUACGAGCCUCACAAAAACAAUUUCCUCCUGCUCAAAUUGGUGAUAAUGUACGAAUGCAAGUUCCUGAUGUCGACCGUUGUCGUACAGAUAACCGAAAUGUGUUAGCGGUUGUUGUUGGAAUAGAAGACUCCCACUUCUAUAAACUCUCAAAUAAAAAUGGUACCCUCAACCAGCUUUACACACGUAAUCAGUUCGUAAUUUGUAAAGAAAAGUUACUUUCCAUAGAUGAGAUUUCUUUUCAAGAAAUGUCGCUGAGAGAAGCAGCUGCAGCUAAUUCAAGAAGCGGGGGACAAGGCUAUAGACGCUGUCAUUGCAAAAGGAAGUGUUCCACAAAUAAAUGCAGUUGUAAAAGCAAGGAACUCUUGUACAAUUCAAAGUGUUAUAAUAGUUUAAGUUGUUGCAAUAAAUAAGAUUUGAAUCACAUAAAAAGAGGGGCGAAAAAGUUACGUCACUCUUGUGACGUUUUAUAGCGACUGAAUUACGGAGAAGAAAAUAUAGAUCUCCAACAUGUUCAACAUUCACCAUUAGUGCAUGGUGAAUGUCAACAUUUACCGGUGUGUACGAGAUCCUCCCAGGUCUCCGAGAGGCGAUUUUUGAGUCUUCACGGAUCUUUGGAUUGAUAUGGAUCUCGCGAUGACGCAUGCGUGUCUUUGGCCAUUCGUCAAUUUUUAUUUUUGACUAAUACUAUUAUUUUUCUGAUUUUUGUAACUAGGUAUUUCAUCAAACGAAACUACCCUUUAUAAUAGUUUAAAUUCAAUAACCUACACUUUACAAUAGUUUAGAUAAUACUUAAAAUAUUUUCUUGUAUUUCCAAAAGUAAAAGGAUUAUUUAGGUGUUUUAUUUCAAAUGGAAUAUUGUUUAUAACGCUCUUUUCCAUUAAAUUAAUUCAGAAUAAUUAAAUUAUUCUUUUUCAAGAACGAUAUUAAGAUACGCCGCUUGAAAUCAGUAAAGAGCCGUCUAUUCAAAAAACCGUCAAGGCAUAAUGAACAAUACAAAUAUUGACUAAUCAACAGGUCGACGGCAUUGAAGUAUUCUCAGAACGUAUUAUUAUCGUCUCAAUUGCGUUCAACUUUCUAUAACGCGUCCAAUAAAUAGAAAUAGAAUUAGUAUAUUACAUCGUUACUAAUAGGAAAUGUUCUUCUACAUUCAAUUAUUGAAAAUUGAAUGUUUAUUCUACAUUGUUAUUGUACUCGUUAAUAUCUAUCUCAAUCUAGAGACGCGGUAGCGUCUCGACGCCAAGUACAUGAAAAAUUAUACGCCACCGUGUAUACUGGCGCUGGCGCUGGCGCUACCACGUAUCUUUUACUCGUAAAACUGCGAUUCCAACCUAACCCGAAACUUGUGUCACUAAUAUCUCAUCACGCCUGCUGUAUUUUCUAAAUCCAAAGGCAUUUUUCUAAUGUAAAUCGCAUAUAAGCUUUCUAAUGAAACCAAAAUCAAUAAAAUCGGUCUAUGUACAACUGAGAUAUCGUAAUACCAUGUCAUGAAUCGGUCAGAAAUUGUAGAUUUUUUUUCUGAUUCUGAUUCUUAUUCUUUUCGUCAACACUUACAAGGAGAGUGCAAGACCUUCAACUCACCAAUUUCAUUGAAACUUUGUACACUUAUAGAUUUCGCUCCCCUGAUUACGAAUAUAUAACAUUAUAGAGGCAGACACUCAAUAGUUUUGGAGAUAUUUGUAAUUAAAGUUUUAUUAUUACCUUGAU
Molecule: long non-coding RNA, 2011 nt
Organism: Hylaeus anthracinus
Lineage: Eukaryota; Metazoa; Arthropoda; Insecta; Hymenoptera; Colletidae
Exons: 3
Source: RefSeq, a predicted model, not a curated record